RNAcentral lists this non-coding RNA (27 nucleotides) under Rattus norvegicus (Norway rat). The record is from RNAcentral. Lineage: Eukaryota; Metazoa; Chordata; Mammalia; Rodentia; Muridae.
GGACAUGAGGAAACCCGUGGGCUGGGA